RNAcentral lists this ribosomal RNA (429 nucleotides) under uncultured bacterium. RNAcentral's name for it is "bacterial SSU rRNA". It matches the Rfam family "Bacterial small subunit ribosomal RNA", at positions 355 to 776 of the family's 1533-position model. The record is from RNAcentral.
UGGGGAAUCUUGGACAAUGGGGGCAACCCUGAUCCAGCGAUGCCGCGUGAGUGAAGAAGGCCUUCGGGUCGUAAAGCUCUUUAGGUUGGGACGAAGGUUAUAGGGGGAUAAUCCUUAUAGCUUGACGGUACUAACAGAAUAAGCACCGGCAAACUCUGUGCCAGCAGCCGCGGUAAUACAGAGGGUGCAAGCGUUAAUCGGAGUUACUGGGCGUAAAGGGUGCGUAGGCGGUCAAUUGGGUGUGGUGUGAAAGCCCCGGGCUUAACCUGGGAAGUGCAUCGCAAACUAAUAGACUGGAGUAUAUGAGAGGGUGGCGGAAUUUCCGGUGUAGCGGUGAAAUGCGUAGAGAUCGGAAGGAACGUCAAUGGCGAAGGCAGCCACCUGGCAUAAUACUGACGCUGAGGCACGAAAGCGUGGGGAGCGAACAGG